GAUCAUGGCUCAGGAUGAACGCUAGCUACGGGCUUAACACAUGCAAGUCGAGGGGCAGCAUGGUCUUAGCUUGCUAAGGCCGAUGGCGACCGGCGCACGGGUGAGUAACACGUAUCCAACCUGCCGUCUACUCUUGGACAGCCUUCUGAAGGAAGAUUAUACAGAUGGCAUCAUGAGUCCGCAUGUUCACAUGNUUAAGUAAUUCGUGACGA
Molecule: ribosomal RNA, 212 nt
Filed under: uncultured bacterium
Lineage: Bacteria
Description: partial 16S ribosomal RNA
Rfam family: Bacterial small subunit ribosomal RNA
Source: RNAcentral